Notamacropus eugenii (tammar wallaby) is the source of this 201-nucleotide small nucleolar RNA. Its record names the gene SNORA73. It matches the Rfam family "Small nucleolar RNA SNORA73 family". From Rfam's summary of the family: U17 (SNORA73A and SNORA73B) also known as E1 belongs to the H/ACA class of small nucleolar RNAs (snoRNAs). Vertebrate U17 is intron-encoded and ranges in length from 200-230 nucleotides, longer than most snoRNAs. It is one of the most abundant snoRNAs in human cells and is essential for the cleavage of pre-rRNA within the 5' external transcribed spacer (ETS). The record is from Ensembl. Lineage: Eukaryota; Metazoa; Chordata; Mammalia; Diprotodontia; Macropodidae.
CCAACGUGGAUAUCCUGGCUAGAUGAGCCCAGGCUCUGUCCAGGUGGCGAAAGGGAGCGUAGGGCCCUUGCCCUAAGACGUACAGUCCCAUUCCACAACGUUGGAUAUCAAGCUGGGCCUUGUGUCUGCACCUGCAUAUUCCUAAACCUUCUCAGAGUCUUUGGACUGUGACUGAGGAGACAAACCAUGCAGGAAACAACU